Small nuclear RNA from Sorex araneus (European shrew), 106 nucleotides. The record is from RefSeq and is a predicted model, not a curated record. Lineage: Eukaryota; Metazoa; Chordata; Mammalia; Eulipotyphla; Soricidae.
GUGCUCGCUUCGGCAGCACAUAUACUAAAAUUGGAACGAUACAGAGAAGAUUAGAUGGCCCCUGCGCAAGGAUGACACACAAGGCAAGGUCAGUCAAGGCUGGCAU